AUGCAUCCUGCACAGGGGAACAAUGUAUUCUACACAGAAGAGACAAUGCAUCCUACACAGAAGAGACAAUGCAUCCUACACAGAAGAGACAAUGCAUCCUACACAGAAGAGACAAUGCAGUCUACCCAGGGGAGACAGUGCAUCCUACACAGAGGACACAAUGCAUCCUACACACAGAGGACAAUGCAUCCUACACACAGAAGACAAUGCAUCCUACACAGAGGAGACAAUGCAUCCUACACACAGAAGACAAUGCAUCCUACACACAGAAGACAAUGCAUCCUACACAGAGGAGACAGUGCAUCCUGCACACAGAGGACAAUGCAUCCUACACACAGGAGACAAUGCAUCCUACACAGAGGAGACAAUGCAUCCUACACACAGGAGACAAUGCAUCCUACACACAGGAGACAAUGCAUCCUACACAGAGGAGACAAUGCAUCCUACACACAGGAGACAAUGCAUCCUACACAGAGACAAUGCAUCCUACACACAGGAGACAAUGCAUCCUACACACAGGAGACAAUGCAUCCUACACACAGGAGACAAUGCAUCCUACACAGAGGAGACAGUGCAUCCUACACACAGGAGACAGUGCAUCCUACACACAGGAGACAGUGCAUCCUACACAGAGGAGACAAUGCAUCCUACACAGAGGAGACAGUGCAUCCUACACAGAGGAGACAGUGCAUCCUACACAGAGGAGACAAUGCAUCCUACACAGAGGAGACAUGCAUCCUACACAGAGGAGACAAUGCAUCCUACACAGAGACAUGCAUCCUACACACAGGAGACAUGCAUCCUACACAGAGGAGACAAUGCAUCCUCACACAGGAGACAGUGCAUCCUACACAGAGAGACAGUGCAUCCUACACACAGGAGACAAUGCAUCCUACACACAGGAGACAAUGCAUCCUACACACAGGCACCACAGAGGAGACAAUGCAUCCUACACACAGGAGACAAUGCAUCCUACACACAGGAGACAAUGCAUCCUACACACAGAGACAAUCACCACACACAGUGCAUCCUACACACAGGAGACAAUGCAUCCUACACAGAGGAGACAGUGCAUCCUACACAGAGGAGACAGUGCAUCCUACACACAGGAGACAAUGCAUCCUACACACAGGAGACAGUGCAUCCUACACACAGGAGACAAUGCAUCCUACACACAGAGGACAAUGCAUCCUACACACAGGAGACAAUGCAUCCUACACAGAGGAGACAAUGCAUCCUACAAGAAAAAACACAGGAGACAAUGCAUCCUACACAGAGGAGACAAUGCAUCCUACACAGAGGAGACAGUGCAUCCUACACAGAGGAGACAAUGCAUCCUACACAGGGGAGACAAUGCACCCUACACAGAGGAGACAAUGCUCCCUACACAGAGGAGACAGUGCAUCUUACACAGGGGAAAUGAAACAACAAAUUUUUCUAAAGUCCGAAGGAUCCUCAUAA
Molecule: long non-coding RNA, 1461 nt
Filed under: Macaca mulatta (Rhesus monkey)
Lineage: Eukaryota; Metazoa; Chordata; Mammalia; Primates; Cercopithecidae
Description: lncRNA (ENSMMUG00000051369.1)
Source: RNAcentral